RNAcentral lists this ribosomal RNA (253 nucleotides) under uncultured bacterium. RNAcentral's name for it is "partial 16S ribosomal RNA". It matches the Rfam family "Bacterial small subunit ribosomal RNA", at positions 524 to 776 of the family's 1533-position model. The record is from RNAcentral.
UACGGGGGGAGCAAGCGUUGUUCGGAUUUACUGGGCGUAAAGGGCGCGUAGGCGGCGCAACAAGUCACUUGUGAAAUCUCCGGGCUUAACCCGGAGCGGCCAAGUGAUACUGUCGUGCUAGAGUGCGGAAGGGGCUACUGGAAUUCUCGGUGUAGCGGUGAAAUGCGUAGAUAUCGGGAGGAACACCUGCGGCGAAGGCGGGUUGCUGGGCUGAUACUGACGCUGAGGCGCGAAAGCCAGGGGAGCGAACGGG